GGUGGCCCGUGAGAUGAGUCGGCUGACAGAUGAUGAGCGCGACCAGGUGAUCUGUGAUGGAAAGUGUGCGGCUCUGCAUAUUCUGGGAUUGGCACUCUAUCCAAGGGUGCACCUGUGGUGUGGUCACCUUAAUGUUCAUACUCCUGAGAUGAUCAGUAAGCUCAGUAACAAAUGGAGGGUGAGGAUACUGUUGAGGUGGCAUCCACGGGAAUGAGUCUUGAACUGCUGCGCCAACAGGAGGUGGAUAUGAGACUGGUGGCGGUGGCGGAGGAAAUGGCUCACCAGCUCGAUGAGGAUGGAGUGGGGGAGAUGAGUCAGGCCAAGGCACAUCUUGCGGGUCAUCCUCAGACGAGAUACUUCAAAAUCUCGCGAUAAGCUCCCACCUGGCACCUGGAAGUGACCCCUGCAUCCAUGGUGACUCCUGCUCAUGGAUGUAUUUUGCAUCCGUGCUCUUGCUCCUAGACAAUUUCAACUACGGGAUCAAUAAGGAGUGCACCAUACUCCUGAGCUGGACCAGAGAAGCCAUGCAUCCCCUAGCCCGCACCAGAGAAGCAGUGCAUCCCCUAGCCCCUACCAGAGAAGUCGUGCAUCAUCCAUCCCUGGUGGGAAAUUCUUGUUACAUAAAGCAAAGAUAUGAGUAUUUCUGUACUUGCUUCUGUUUGUAUGUGCCAGUACCUGCUUUUUGCCAGUAAUUGUUUUGAUUACAAUAAAUGUACACCUUUCUGAUCUGUUGUGUGAUAGUGGAGUGGAGAGUCAGCAGCUGGAUUUUGCACCCACGGUCAAUAGUAUUAGUAGGUGUAUAGGCAAACAAACAAACAAUAACCACAACGACCAUUAUUCAUUGUAUUAUUACAUUUGUGGGAAGUUAUUACAAUAAAGAUUUUCACUUCCCCACAAACGUAAUAAAUCCCUGCAAACGUAAUAGUUAUUACAUUUGUGGGAAAUCGUGUGUUACAUUUGUAGUAGGCAGCGGCUAUUACGUUUGUGGAAAAUUUAUUACGUUUGUGGGUUUAUUACAUUAAAUGCUGCAGAUUUUUAUUACGUUUUUGGUUUAUUGUGUUUGUGGACAGUUAUUACAUUGGCGGGCAUUACAAGGCACUCACUUUUUUCUUUUUUCUUGGUAAGAAUAUCAGUUCUACUUGGGAAAAAAUAAGAUGUCCAGGGUUCCCAUGGUCAUGGAAAACCUGGAAAAGUCAUGGAAUUUUAAAAUGUCAUUUCCAGGCCUGAAAAAGUCUUGAAAUGAAGUAAAAUCAUCAAAAGUUUUUGAAAAGUCAUGGAAUUUAAUUUUGUUGUCUGAAGGCUAUCUUACAUUUAGUGAUGACCUCAUGAAGCCUCAUGAAGCAUUUUCUUUAUUUUCUGAGCCCACUAGAUGGCACUCUUGGUUUCGAGAGAGGCUCAAAGGAUGGCAAUUCAGAGUGUUUUAAAACUUUUGUUGAACAGAAAGCGCCAUCUCUCCAAAGUCUGUCCUCUGAGUGCCUCCACUUCUUGCGCUUCCUUCAGGAGAUACAUGAUGUGCUGAGACAUCUCUUUCACAAGGAUGCUCUGCUCCUCCUCCAAGGGUUUCAGCAGCAUUGACUGGUCAAAGACAGACCUCUUCAACCUGAGGGUGUUGCCUUUAGGUUAAGGAAAGGAAUGGAGUAGUGGACAAGAAAUAUUUAUUAUUAUAUUAUACAUAUAUUAUUAUAACUGAAUGAUGUUUAUUUCUGAGACACAGAUCUAUGUAGGAAUGGCAUUGGUUUUCUUGAAUGUAAACAAUUAAAAAAAUAUAUCAUUACAAAGUGACAAUCUUAUUUGGAUGGAAAGCUUGUUAAAUUGUGAUGGUAAAGUGUCUCAUUUGUGAUUACUACAGCAUGGUAUUAAUAUCACCAUAACCUUUUCUGCCCCAUGAUGAUGGUGAUGAUGGUUCUGAUGGUGAUGAGGGAUGGUUCGCCCAUGGCGUAAAACUAGCCAGGACCGCCUCUGAUGGUGUUGUAUUGCAAGACCUUUUCACAAAGCUUCUUCUUCAGCUCUGUCAUUUUCUU
This is a long non-coding RNA of Epinephelus moara (kelp grouper), 2021 nucleotides long. RefSeq lists it as uncharacterized. The record is from RefSeq and is a predicted model, not a curated record. NCBI's taxonomy places the organism in Eukaryota, Metazoa, Chordata, Actinopteri, Perciformes, Serranidae. The transcript has 3 exons.